This 324-nucleotide ribosomal RNA is filed under the name uncultured bacterium. RNAcentral's name for it is "bacterial SSU rRNA". It matches the Rfam family "Bacterial small subunit ribosomal RNA", at positions 28 to 334 of the family's 1533-position model. The record is from RNAcentral.
GAUGAACGCUGGCGGCGUGCCUAACACAUGCAAGUCGAACGGACAUUUUUUGGAAAGUUCUUCGGAACUGGAAUCUAAAUGUUAGUGGCGGACGGGUGAGUAACGCGUGAGCAAUCUGCCUUCCAGUGGGGGACAACAGUUGGAAACGACUGCUAAUACCGCAUAACGCAGCUAGAUCGCAUGAUCUUACUGCCAAAGCUUUAUGUGCUGGAAGAUGGCCUCGCGUCUGAUUAGCUAGUUGGUGGGGUAACGGCCCACCAAGGCGACGAUCAGUAGCCGGUCUGAGAGGAUGAACGGCCACAUUGGGACUGAGACACGGCCCAG